Molecule: long non-coding RNA, 837 nt
Organism: Felis catus (domestic cat)
Lineage: Eukaryota; Metazoa; Chordata; Mammalia; Carnivora; Felidae
Exons: 3
Source: RefSeq, a predicted model, not a curated record
CUCCUACUUAACGUUUUGAAAUAUUAUGAAAUGCAAAGAUUUUUUUUUUUUUUUACCACACAUAUUAGUUCAUCUCGUCAUUCUGACACUCCUAUGAGACUGACACAUGAGGAUUAAUCGUUUUUUAAAUCCCACAGCCUAAAAAGCUUUUUCCUUUGGGAGUGGAUAGCACUAUCCUAUUUUAGAGUUGCGGGGGUGGUGGGAAGGAGGGAUGAGGAGAGACGCCUGGGUGGCUCAGUCGGUUGAGCCUACGACUUUGGCUCAAGUCAGGAUCCAAAGGCCGCUUUAUUGGUAGUUUUGCCCAGAAUUCCAUUCAUCCUUUCCUCCUUGUGGACAAUGAGAACUGUUGGGUCUGCCCUUGGACAAAUCAAUCAACCGAAGAAACAUGUUUCUCUGUGGCCCAAAUGAUAUGAAGGUUAUGGUGAGAUAUCCUCAAGCAUCCACAACCUCAAGGAUCUUAUUUAUUUCAGGAAAUAAAUAAUACUGAGGAGAAGAUUUUUCUCGUUUCCUAUUGAGGAGGGUCAUUGAAAGAUGAAACUGCCAGUGGACCUGUGAGCUGGACCUGGGAGAUGGGAUGCUCCUCCCCCCUCCCCUGUUCUUGAAAUAUGGGUUCCACUUGCCUUUCUGGAUCCCAGAGGCUGCUGCAAGGACAUAGUCUUGAGAUAAUGAUGUGAUGUUGGGAACACCUGCACGGUGUAUGUGACUGAACUCUGUUAAUGCCUCUUGAUAAACUUUUAGGAUUUGGCAGGUGGGUGCGGGAUCCAUUCAUUUUGUGCCACACAGCACAAGCCUGGGUGUAAGUUCCAUUUGCUAUUAUUAAAACUACCACCUUACCAA